Molecule: ribosomal RNA, 330 nt
Filed under: uncultured Chlorophyceae
Lineage: Eukaryota; Viridiplantae; Chlorophyta; Chlorophyceae
Description: partial Bacterial small subunit ribosomal RNA
Rfam family: Bacterial small subunit ribosomal RNA
Source: RNAcentral
UUGAGAGUUUGAUCCUGGCUCAGAACGAACGCUGGCGGCAGGCUUAACACAUGCAAGUCGAGCGGUAACAGAUCUAGCUUGCUAGAUGCUGACGAGCGGCGGACGGGUGAGUAAUGCAUAGGAAACUGCCCAGUAGUGGGGGAUAGCCCGGGGAAACCCGGAUUAAUACCGCGUACGCCCUUCGGGGGAAAGCAGGGGAUCUUCGGACCUUGCGCUAUUGGAUGUGCCUAUGUCGGAUUAGCUAGUUGGUGGGGUAAAGGCCUACCAAGGCGACGAUCCGUAGCUGGUCUGAGAGGAUGAUCAGCCACAUCGGGACUGAGACACGGCCCG